GCUGGGCGUGGUGGCACAAGCCUGUAAUCCAGCUACUCCAGAGGCUGAGACUGGCAGAUCGCUUGAGCUCAGGAUUUCUGGGCUGCAGCGGACUAAGCCGAUUGGGGUCUGCACUAAGUUCAGCAUCAAUAUGGCGAUCCCCGGGGAGCCAAGGUUCACCAGGUUGCCUAAGGAGGGGUGAACCAGCCCAGGUCAGAGAUAGAGCUCCCGUGCCAAUCCGUAGUGGUACAGCAUCUGUGAAUAGCCGCUGCACCGUCACCUGAGAAAGAGAGUGAGACCCAGACUCUU
This 288-nucleotide signal recognition particle RNA is filed under the name Laticauda laticaudata (blue-ringed sea krait). RNAcentral describes it as "Metazoan signal recognition particle RNA (ENSLLTG00000000849.1)". It matches the Rfam family "Metazoan signal recognition particle RNA". Rfam says of the family: The signal recognition particle (SRP) is a universally conserved ribonucleoprotein. It is involved in the co-translational targeting of proteins to membranes. The eukaryotic SRP consists of a 300-nucleotide 7S RNA and six proteins: SRPs 72, 68, 54, 19, 14, and 9. The record is from Rfam by way of RNAcentral. Lineage: Eukaryota; Metazoa; Chordata; Lepidosauria; Squamata; Elapidae.